This 79-nucleotide non-coding RNA is filed under the name Streptomyces sp. The record is from RNAcentral. Lineage: Bacteria; Bacillati; Actinomycetota; Actinomycetes; Kitasatosporales; Streptomycetaceae.
GGGGAAACCGGUGGAAAUCCGGUACUGACCCGCAGCCGUGUACCCGCCUUCUCCCCGAAGGCGGUGAGUCGGAAUGCCC